This 467-nucleotide ribosomal RNA is filed under the name uncultured bacterium. Its description in RNAcentral is "partial 16S ribosomal RNA". It matches the Rfam family "Bacterial small subunit ribosomal RNA", at positions 28 to 507 of the family's 1533-position model. The record is from RNAcentral.
GAUGAACGCUGGCGGCGUGCUUAACACAUGCAAGUCGAACGGAAAGGCCCAAGCUUGCUUGGGUACUCGAGUGGCGAACGGGUGAGUAACACGUGGGUGAUCUGCCCUGCACUUCGGGAUAAGCCUGGGAAACUGGGUCUAAUACCGGAUAGGACCACUUCUUGGAUGUUGUGGUGGAAAGUUUUUUCGGUGUGGGAUGAGCUCGCGGCCUAUCAGCUUGUUGGUGGGGUAAUGGCCUACCAAGGCGUCGACGGGUAGCCGGCCUGAGAGGGUGUACGGCGACAUUGGGACUGAGAUACGGCCCAGACUCCUACGGGAGGCAGCAGUGGGGAAGAUUGCACAAUGGGCGCAAGCCUGAUGCAGCGACGCCGCGUGGGGGAUGACGGCCUUCGGGUUGUAAACUCCUUUCGCUAGGGACGAAGCGUUUUGUGACGGUACCUGGAGAAGAAGCACCGGCUAACUACGUG